UCAAAACUUUCUGAAGAUUGAAGCUUGC
RNAcentral lists this small RNA (28 nucleotides) under Bombyx mori (domestic silkworm). RNAcentral's name for it is "ovarian small RNA-24365". The record is from RNAcentral. Lineage: Eukaryota; Metazoa; Arthropoda; Insecta; Lepidoptera; Bombycidae.